This 461-nucleotide ribosomal RNA is filed under the name uncultured bacterium. RNAcentral's name for it is "partial 16S ribosomal RNA". It matches the Rfam family "Bacterial small subunit ribosomal RNA", at positions 338 to 795 of the family's 1533-position model. The record is from RNAcentral.
CCUACGUGGGGCUGCAGUGAGGAAUAUUGGUCAAUGGGCGAGAGCCUGAACCAGCCAAGUCGCGUGAAGGAUGACGGCCCUACGGGUUGUAAACUUCUUCUGUCAGGGAGCAAUUGAGUCCACGUGUGGGCUUAGCGAGAGUACCUGAAGAAAAAGCAUCGGCUAACUCCGUGCCAGCAGCCGCGGUAAUACGGAGGAUGCGAGCGUUAUCCGGAUUUAUUGGGUUUAAAGGGUGCGUAGGUGGUUAAUUAAGUCAGCGGUGAAAGUUUGUGGCUCAACCAUAAAAUUGCCGUUGAAACUGGUUGACUUGAGUAUAUUUGAGGUAGGCGGAAUGCGUGGUGUAGCGGUGAAAUGCAUAGAUAUCACGCAGAACUCCGAUUGCGAAGGCAGCUUACUAAACUAUAACUGACACUGAAGCACGAAAGCGUGGGGAUCAAACAGGAUUAGAUACCCGUGUAGUC